This 478-nucleotide small RNA is filed under the name Pan troglodytes (chimpanzee). Its description in RNAcentral is "processed transcript". The record is from RNAcentral. Lineage: Eukaryota; Metazoa; Chordata; Mammalia; Primates; Hominidae.
UGCCUCAGCGCGCGCGGUGGGCGGGGCGGGGCCUGUCCGCGCCUAGGAGCAGUGGGCGCUGCGAGCAGCGAGGCCAGAUGCUGUCUUGGGAUGUAGGAAAAAUAAAUCCACAAAAGCUACCAAGUUUGAAGGGGACCAUGAGUCUUCAGGCUGGAGCUUCCAAACCAGAUGAAAACCCCACAAUUAACCUGCAGUUUAAGAUCCAGCAGCUGGCCAUUUCUGGACUCAAGGUGAAUCGUCUGGAUAUGUAUGGAGAAAAGUACAAACCCUUUAAGGGCAUAAAAUACAUGACCAAAGCUGGGAAGUUCCAAGUUCGAACCUGAAGGGAGCAUUUGCUGAGGGAAUAGUCUUGCACACUUUUUCAUUUCUUACUUGUCUAAAAGUAAAACAAAAUAUCAGCCUGUCUCCUAGGUCAGUCCCCUCCUGGACCCACCCGCUCCCUUUUUUCCUUAGCCUUCAGUGCCAUGGAACUAAUCAA